Molecule: ribosomal RNA, 443 nt
Filed under: uncultured bacterium
Lineage: Bacteria
Description: partial 16S ribosomal RNA
Rfam family: Bacterial small subunit ribosomal RNA
Source: RNAcentral
CCUACGGGAGACAGCAGUGGGGAAUAUUGGGCAAUGGAGGAAACUCUGACCCAGCAACGCCGCGUGAAUGAUGAAGGUCUUCGGAUUGUAACGUUCUUUUCUAAGGGAAGAAGAAAGUGACGGUACCUUAGGAAUAAGCCUCGGCUAACUACGUGCCAGCAGCCGCGGUAAUACGUAGGAGGCAAGCGUUAUCCGGAAUGACUGGGCGUAAAGGGUGCGUAGGUGGUUUGACAAGUUGGUAGCGUAACUCCGGGGCUCAACCUCGGCACUACUACCAAAACUGUUGGAGUUGAGGGCAGGAGGGGCAAAUGGAAUUCCGAGGGGAGGGGGGGAAGGCGUAGAUAGUAGGAGGAAAACCAGUGGCGAAGGCGAUUUGCUGGACUGUAACCGACGCUGAGGCACGAAAGCGUGGGUAGCAAACAGGAUUAGAUACCCGUGUAGUC